UUCGGAACGCUNCCUUUCGGGGUGGAGUGGCAGCACGGGUGAGUAACGCGUGGGGAAUCUACCCAUCUCUACGGGAUAGCUCCGGGAAACUGGAAUUAAUACCGUAUACGUCCUCCGGGAGAAAGAUUUAUCGGGGAUGGAUGAGCCCGCGUUGGAUUAGCUAGUUGGUGGGGUAAAAGCCUACCAAGGCGACGAUCCAUAGCUGGUCUAAGAGGAUGAUCAGCCACAUUGGGACUGAGACACGGCCCAAACUCCUACGGGAGGCAGCAGUGGGGAAUAUUGGACAAUGGGCGCAAGCCUGAUCCAGCCAUGCCGCGUGAGUGAUGAAGGCCCUA
Molecule: ribosomal RNA, 335 nt
Filed under: marine bacterium SIMO-IS144
Lineage: Bacteria; Pseudomonadati; Pseudomonadota; Alphaproteobacteria
Description: bacterial SSU rRNA
Rfam family: Bacterial small subunit ribosomal RNA
Source: RNAcentral